Molecule: non-coding RNA, 72 nt
Organism: Zasmidium cellare ATCC 36951
Lineage: Eukaryota; Fungi; Ascomycota; Dothideomycetes; Mycosphaerellales; Mycosphaerellaceae
Source: the annotation of a RefSeq genome assembly
UCUCCUGUGGCGCAAUGGUAGCGCAGCGGACUUCGAAUCCGAAGGUUGCACGUUCAACCCGUGUCAGGAGAG